UUGGAUGGUCUUCUUUGAAUUGAGGAGAAGAGAUAAACAUAUACACUAGAUGUCAAGCCAGAGAAAAAUGAUAGAAAUGCUACAAAAUACAUAUAUUAAAUCAUCAUAUGUUAUGAUUAUGUAAUUAACAUUAUUAAUAUUUACAUUAACAAAAAGAGAAAAUAACUAAAUAACUAAAUAUCUCUGAUUAAAAAACAGAGGAAAACAGAGUGAAAGAAACAGGGGAAGCAUACAAAUCCUCCCUCAACAAUCUCUAUGCAUCAUCUUAAGACUAAUCAAAAACUUUAACAUGAUUUUCUGACUCUAUAAAUCACCAACAGAAAUGGGUUGCCCGGAAAUUCCCAAUGGUGACCGGGAAAUCAGCCUCAAAACAGGUCUUACUUCAGGUCGACCAAAUGACCAAUCAUAGAUUGUCUCUGAUUCUUGCUUGAUCUUCAUAACUUGGCUAUGAAUUAGGAUACCCUUUUGUGCCAAGCUUUCAUCUUUGUUGUUAAUCUUCAUGCUCUUCACGUUCUUACUCAAAGAAAAAUCUCAAUCUUUUUUUUUGACACAAAGUUUCUAUAUAUAGACAGAGAUAUAACCUAUGUGUGUUUAUAUAUGACACAAAGGGAAGACAAUUACGAAACUUAAGAGAUAAGAGAUUGGAGAAGUUUGGUGAAAAAUCUCUAUUCUUUUGGAUUCAGUUUGAAGGUGACCAAAUUGGGUCAUAUAGUAGGCAGAAAUAAGGUUUUAUAUUAUUUGAAUGACUCGUUUAGUUGACCAUGUUUUUUCAACCAUUGGGUUUUGGUAUUUG
This 793-nucleotide long non-coding RNA is filed under the name Lathyrus oleraceus (garden pea). RNAcentral's name for it is "Pisum sativum (pea) long non-coding RNA (PSAT_LNC037956)". The record is from RNAcentral. Lineage: Eukaryota; Viridiplantae; Streptophyta; Magnoliopsida; Fabales; Fabaceae.